UGAAGAUGGCGACCGGCGCACGGGUGAGUAACACGUAUCCAACCUGCCGAUAACUCGGGGAUAGCCUUUCGAAAGAAAGAUUAAUAUCCGAUAGCAUAUCAAUCCCGCAUGAGAUUGAUAUUAAAGAAUUUCGGUUAUCGAUGGGGAUGCGUUCCAUUAGUUUGUUGGCGGGGUAACGGCCCACCAAGACUACGAUGGAUAGGGGUUCUGAGAGGAAGGUCCCCCACAUUGGAACUGAGACACGGUCCAAACUCCUACGGGAGGCAGCAGUGAGGAAUAUUGGUCAAUGGACGUAAGUCUGAACCAGCCAAGUAGCGUGAAGGAUGACUGCCCUAUGGGUUGUAAACUUCUUUUAUAUGGGAAUAAAGUAUUCCACGUGUGGGAUUUUGUAUGUACCAUAUGAAUAAGGAUCGGCUAACUCCGUGCCAGCAGCCGCGGUAAUACGGAGGAUCCGAGCGUUAUCCGGAUUUAUUGGGUUUAAAGGGAGCGUAGGUGGAUUGUUAAGUCAGUUGUGAAAGUUUGCGGCUCAACCGUAAAAUUGCAGUUGAAACUGGCAGUCUUGAGUACAGUAGAGGUGGGCGGAAUUCGUGGUGUAGCGGUGAAAUGCUUAGAUAUCACGAAGAACUCCGAUUGCGAAGGCAGCUCACUAGACUGUCACUGACACUGAUGCUCGAAAGUGUGGGUAUCAAACAGGAUUAGAUACCCUGGUAGUCCACACAGUAAACGAUGAAUACUCGCUGUUUGCGAUAUACAGUAAGCGGCCAAGCGAAAGCAUUAAGUAUUC
This 784-nucleotide ribosomal RNA is filed under the name uncultured bacterium. RNAcentral describes it as "bacterial SSU rRNA". It matches the Rfam family "Bacterial small subunit ribosomal RNA", at positions 83 to 869 of the family's 1533-position model. The record is from RNAcentral.